This 253-nucleotide ribosomal RNA is filed under the name uncultured bacterium. Its description in RNAcentral is "partial 16S ribosomal RNA". It matches the Rfam family "Bacterial small subunit ribosomal RNA", at positions 524 to 776 of the family's 1533-position model. The record is from RNAcentral.
GACGUAGGUGGCGAACGUUAUCCGGAAUUAUUGGGCGUAAAGGGUGCGUAGGCGGUUGUUUAAGUUUGGUGUGAAAUCUCCCGGCUCAACUGGGAGGGUGCGCCGAAUACUGAAUGACUAGAGUGCGGGAGAGGAUAGUGGAAUUCCUGGUGUAGCGGUGAAAUGCGUAGAUAUCAGGAGGAACACCGGUGGUGUAGACGGCUAUCUGGACCGUAACUGACGCUGAGGCACGAAAGCGUGGGUAGCAAACAGG